This 327-nucleotide ribosomal RNA is filed under the name Streptomyces sp. RNAcentral's name for it is "bacterial SSU rRNA". It matches the Rfam family "Bacterial small subunit ribosomal RNA", at positions 99 to 426 of the family's 1533-position model. The record is from RNAcentral. Lineage: Bacteria; Bacillati; Actinomycetota; Actinomycetes; Kitasatosporales; Streptomycetaceae.
CGAACGGGUGAGUAACACGUGGGCAAUCUGCCCUGCACUCUGGGACAAGCCCUGGAAACGGGGUCUAAUACCGGAUACUGACCCUCGCAGGCAUCUGCGAGGUUCGAAAGCUCCGGCGGUGCAGGAUGAGCCCGCGGCCUAUCAGCUAGUUGGUGAGGUAAUGGCUCACCAAGGCGACGACGGGUAGCCGGCCUGAGAGGGCGACCGGCCACACUGGGACUGAGACACGGCCCAGACUCCUACGGGAGGCAGCAGUGGGGAAUAUUGCACAAUGGGCGAAAGCCUGAUGCAGCGACGCCGCGUGAGGGAUGACGGCCUUCGGGUUGU